UACGAAGGGGGCUAGCGUUGAUCGGAAUCACUGGGCGUAAAGGGUGCGUAGGCGGGUCUUUAAGUCAGGGGUGAAAUCCUGGAGCUCAACUCCAGAACUGCCUUUGAUACUGAGGAUCUUGAGUUCGGGAGAGGUGAGUGGAACUGCGAGUGUAGAGGUGAAAUUCGUAGAUAUUCGCAAGAACACCAGUGGCGAAGGCGGCUCACUGGCCCGAUACUGACGCUGAGGCACGAAAGCGUGGGGAGCAAACAGG
Molecule: ribosomal RNA, 253 nt
Filed under: uncultured bacterium
Lineage: Bacteria
Description: partial 16S ribosomal RNA
Rfam family: Bacterial small subunit ribosomal RNA
Source: RNAcentral